RNAcentral lists this ribosomal RNA (110 nucleotides) under uncultured bacterium. RNAcentral's name for it is "partial 16S ribosomal RNA". It matches the Rfam family "Bacterial small subunit ribosomal RNA", at positions 1373 to 1482 of the family's 1533-position model. The record is from RNAcentral.
CCCGGGCCUUGUACACACCGCCCGUCACACCAUGGGAGUGGGUUGUACCAGAAGUAGGUAGAAUAACCGCAAGGGGUUCGCUUACCACGGUAUGGUUCAUGACUGGGGUG